This 351-nucleotide transfer-messenger RNA is filed under the name Cellulosilyticaceae. Its description in RNAcentral is "DUUM01 sp012841565 Standard tmRNA". It matches the Rfam family "transfer-messenger RNA". Rfam says of the family: Bacterial tmRNA, also known as 10Sa RNA or SsrA, is named for its dual tRNA and mRNA-like properties. RNAcentral also lists the same sequence under 1 other name. Lineage: Bacteria; Bacillati; Bacillota; Clostridia; Lachnospirales. The record is from RNAcentral.
GGGGGUGCAAUGGUUUCGACGGGGGUCACUUAUUUCGGGGCAGCCAUCCGUAGGCUCGGAUACUACGUAAAAAGCCGAACAAUUUUUAAACGCUGAAGAUAAUUUAGCUUUCGCUGCUUAAUUGCAGCUAGUCUCCUCUAAGUAACCCGCAGCUUAGUACGAGGCUAUAACCCAAACGCGGGCAACUUUUAUGCCUAAGCUUUGCAGCAUAACCGUACCCCAUGAAGCUACUAAAGCCACCAGCCUGUCACUGGGCGUGUGGUAGAGGGAAUGUCAAACUAGUGAAUAUGAUGGUAGAGACCACGACCUACGGGCUUUCGGACAGGGGUUCAAUUCCCCUCACCUCCAUGG